AACCGAUGACCCCGAUCAAUGUCCCCAACUUGGUGGCCCUGCCCAAUGUCCCCAAGCCGAUGACCUCCAUCAAUGUCCCCAAGCCGAUGACCUUGACCAAAGUCCACAACUUGGUGGCCUCCAUCAAUGUCCCCAAGAUGUUGGCCCUUGAGGAUGUCCCCAACUUGGUGGCCCUUGAGGAUGUCCCCAACUUGAUGACUCUUGGUGAUGUCCCCAAGCCGAUGGCUUUGACCGAUGUCCUCAAGGUGGUGGCUCUUCAUGAUGUCCCCAAGCUGAUGACCUUGACCAAUGUCCCCAAGUUGAUGGCUCUUGGUGAUGUCCCCAACUUGGUGGCCUCCAUCAAUGUCCCAAAGAUGGUGGCCCUGACCGAUGUCCCCAACUUGGUGGCUCUUCACAAUGUCCCCAACCCGAUGACUUUGACCAAUGUCCCCAACGUGGUGGCUUUGAUCAAUGUCCCCAACUUGAUGACUCCUGAGGAUGUCCCCAAGGUGGUGGCCCUCCCUGAUGUCCCCAACCCGGUGGCUUUGACCGACGUCCCCACCCCGCCGUCCCCUCCAGGUGCCACCGCUGUCCCCGUCCCCGGUGCCACCGCGCAGGACGAACUCCACGAUGUCGGCCGGGAGCCCCUCGGCGCUCGGUGGCAUUGGUGACACCUCUGGUGGCACCUCUGGUGGCAUUGGUGGCACCUCUGGUGGCACCGUCCCCCUGGUGGCAUCAUCAGCACCGUCCACUUGGCAGAUUUGGGGACAAGGUGACAACGGUGACAAUGCCACCGCCGGUGCCACCACGGUGCGGGCGUAGCCGAAAUAACGUCCCCGUCCCCGUGGUGGCAUUGUCACCGCGGUGGUGGCACUGUCACCGUCGUCGUCGUCGCUGGUGUCACCUCGCGGGGAUCUGUGGGACAAUGAGGUGACAAUGAGGUGACACUGAGGUGACAAUGAGGUGACAAUAAAGUGACAAUUCGGUGACACUGAGGUGACAAUGAGGUGACACUGAGGUGACAAUGAGGUGACAAUAAGGUGACACUGAGGUGACAAU
RNAcentral lists this long non-coding RNA (1038 nucleotides) under Taeniopygia guttata (zebra finch). RNAcentral describes it as "lncRNA (ENSTGUG00000026346.1)". Lineage: Eukaryota; Metazoa; Chordata; Aves; Passeriformes; Estrildidae. The record is from RNAcentral.